Molecule: ribosomal RNA, 479 nt
Filed under: uncultured bacterium
Lineage: Bacteria
Description: bacterial SSU rRNA
Rfam family: Bacterial small subunit ribosomal RNA
Source: RNAcentral
AUUGAACGCUGGCGGCAUGCUUUACACAUGCAAGUCGAACGGCAGCACGGGUGCUUGCACCUGGUGGCGAGUGGCGGACGGGUGAGUAAUGCAUCGGAACGUGUCCUUAAGCGGGGGAUAACGCAUCGAAAGAUGUGCUAAUACCGCAUAAUCUCUGAGGAGGAAAGCAGGGGAUCGCAAGACCUUGCGCUUUUGGAGCGGCCGAUGUCUGAUUAGCUAGUUGGUGGGGUAAUGGCCUACCAAAGCUUCGAUCAGUAGCUGGUCUGAGAGGACGGCCAGCCACACUGGGACUGAGACACGGCCCAGACUCCUACGGGAGGCAGCAGUGGGGAAUUUUGGACAAUGGGCGCAAGCCUGAUCCAGCCAUGCCGCGUGAGUGAAGAAGGCCUUUCGGGUUUGUAAAAGCUCUUUCAGCCGGGAAGAAAAGGCUGCGACUAAUAAUCGCAGUUCAUGACGGUACCGGAAGAAGAAGCACCGGC